GGAGGAAAAGAAACUAACAAGGAUUCCCCUAGUAACGGCGAGUGAAGCGGGAAGAGCUCAAAUUUGAAAUCUGGCAGUCUUCGAUUGUCCGAGUUGUAAUCUAUAGAGGCGUUUUCCGUGCCGGACCGUGUCCAAGUCUCCUGGAAAGGAGUAUCAAAGAGGGUGAUAAUCCCGUACUUAACACGACCACCGGUGCUCUGUGAUACGUCUUCUACGAGUCGAGUUGUUUGGGAAUGCAGCUCAAAAUGGGUGGUGAAUUCCAUCUAAAGCUAAAUAUUGGCGAGAGACCGAUAGCGAACAAGUACCGUGAGGGAAAGAUGAAAAGCACUUUGGAAAGAGAGUUAAACAGUACGUGAAAUUGUUGAAAGGGAAACGAUUGAAGUCAGUCGUGUUCUUUGGAUUCAGCCAGUUCUGCUGGUCUACUUCCUUUGAACGGGUCAACAUCAGUUUUGUCCGGUGGAUAAAGGUAGUAGGAAUGUGACUUCCCCGGAAGUGUUAUAGCCUAUUAUCACAUACACUGGGUGAGACUGAGGACUGCAGCUCGCCUUUAUGGCCGACCUUCGGGUACGUUCGAGCUUAGGAUGUUGACAUAAUGGCUUUAAACGACCC
RNAcentral lists this ribosomal RNA (609 nucleotides) under Trichosporon faecale. RNAcentral describes it as "eukaryotic LSU rRNA". It matches the Rfam family "Eukaryotic large subunit ribosomal RNA", at positions 52 to 650 of the family's 3401-position model. The record is from RNAcentral. Lineage: Eukaryota; Fungi; Basidiomycota; Tremellomycetes; Trichosporonales; Trichosporonaceae.